This 1004-nucleotide long non-coding RNA is filed under the name Calidris pygmaea (Spoon-billed sandpiper). RNAcentral describes it as "lncRNA (ENSCPGG00000015327.1)". Lineage: Eukaryota; Metazoa; Chordata; Aves; Charadriiformes; Scolopacidae. The record is from RNAcentral.
CACUGAGCUGUCCUGGGGCGUUUGCUGGGAGGGGAGAGGAUUUGGCCAAGUCCCCUCCUGGCCCCAGGGGACCUGGGUGACCCCUCCUGCCCGUGCUGUGGCCGGGGGGGGGGGACAUGGGGGUGCACAGGAGCUGCUGUAGGUUGAGCUGUCACAGGAGAACCUGCUGCUCCCCUCCCUGGGGGUUCCAGCAGGUCCCCAAAGGUGGCCCCCAUAAAGGGGCCACCACACAGCCCUUCCCCACAGCGGCAGGGACACGGGGAGAGAGGGGACAUGUGCCACCGGUGUCCAGCUGUGGCCCAGGGGCCAUGGUGGCCCUCCCUCACCCCUCUGUGAGGCAAGGGGCUGGGGCUGGGGAGAGGAGCUUGGUUUAGCUCAGAUCUUCCCUCUAAUCCCCCACAACAGCUGCCUGCACCCAGGAAACACCGAUUCGGGGUGUCAUCCUCCCUCCCUCCGCACCAACCGGGCUGCAGCAGCUCAGGGCACCCCCCUCAUCCUCACCAAGCGCCUUCAUCCAGCCCUGCUUGAGAGCAGCCCUGAGGAGAAGGACUUGGGGGUGGUGGUGGGUGAGAAGCUCCACAGGCCCCAGCAACGUGCACUGGCAGCCCAGAAACCCCCCACCCCCUGGGCUGCUUCCCCAGCCCUGUGGUCAGCAGGGCCAGGGGGGGAUUCUGCCCCUCUGCUCCGCUCUGGGGAGACCCCCCCCCACCCAGUGCUGCCUCCAGCUCUGGGGCCACCAACAGCAGAAGGACAUGGACCUGCUGGAGCGGGGCCAGAGGAGGCCCCGGAGAUGCUGGGAGGGCUGGAGCCCCUCUGCUGGGAGGGGGGGCUGAGAGAGUUGGGGGGGUUCAGCCUGGAGAAGAGAAGGCUCUGGGGAGACCUUGGAGCCCCUUCCAGUCCCUCAAGGGGCUCCAGGAGAGAUGGGGAGGGACUCUGGAUGAGGGAGGGGAGCCCUAGGAGGAGGGGGAAGGGUUUGACCCUGAAAGAGGGGAGAUGGAGCUGAG